AUAUGCUCACAUAUGGGCUGCCGGAAAUACUGCAUAGCUAGGGAGUGGGAGAGGUAGACGGUACUCCGUAGGAAGGGGUAAAAUCCUUUGAUCUAUGGAUGACCACCUGUGGCGAAGGCGGUCUACAGAACACGUCCGACGGUGAGGGAUGAAAGCUGGGGGAGCAAACCGGAUUAGAUACCCGGGUAGUCCCAGCUGUAAACUAUGCAAACUCAGUGAUGCAUUGGCUUGUGGCCAAUGCAGUGCCGCAGAGAAGUCAUUAAGUUUGCCGCCUGGGAAGUACGUACGCAAGUAUGAAACUUAAAGGAAUUGGCGGGGGAGCACCACAAGGGGUGAAGCCUGCGGUUCAAUUGGAGUCAACGCCAGAAAUCUUACCCGGAGAGACAGCAGGAUGAAGGUCAAGCUGAAGACUUUACCAGACAAGCUGAGAGGUGGUGCAUGGCCGUCGUCAGCUCGUGCCGUGAGGUGUCCUGUUAAGUCAGGUAACGAGCGAGAUCCCUGCCUCUAGUUGCCACCAUUACUCUCAGGAGUAGUGGGGCGAAUUAGCGGGACCGCCGCAGUUAAUGCGGAGGAAGGAAGGGGCCACGGCAGGUCAGUAUGCCCCGAAAAUC
Molecule: ribosomal RNA, 611 nt
Filed under: uncultured archaeon
Lineage: Archaea
Description: bacterial SSU rRNA
Rfam family: Archaeal small subunit ribosomal RNA
Source: RNAcentral